RNAcentral lists this ribosomal RNA (245 nucleotides) under uncultured archaeon. RNAcentral describes it as "partial 16S ribosomal RNA". It matches the Rfam family "Archaeal small subunit ribosomal RNA", at positions 474 to 718 of the family's 1478-position model. The record is from RNAcentral.
CACCAGCGCCACGAGUGGGGGCCGUAUUUAUUGGGCUUAAAGCGUCCGUAGCCUGUUAUGUAAAUCUUUUGUGAAAUUGUCUCGCUUAACUUGACAGAUGGCAAAAGACACUGCGUGACUAGGGACCGGGAAGGGUCAGAGGUAUUGUCGGGGUAGCGGUAAAAUGUUAUAAUCCUUACAAGACCACCUGUGGCGAAGGCGUCUGACUAGAACGGUUCCGACGGUGAGGGACGAAAGCUAGGGGA